This 20-nucleotide small nuclear RNA is filed under the name Arabidopsis thaliana (thale cress). Its description in RNAcentral is "snRNA_07889". Lineage: Eukaryota; Viridiplantae; Streptophyta; Magnoliopsida; Brassicales; Brassicaceae. The record is from RNAcentral.
GUUCCCUCCGAAGUUUCCCU